AUGCUUUGGCAGCAUGUGUAUUGAAAGUUGAAAAGAUACAGGGAUUGCCAUGAUCCUUGACCAAGGAUGCCAUGCAAAGGCAUGAAACAUUCCAUGUUUUA
Molecule: small nuclear RNA, 101 nt
Organism: Rattus norvegicus (Norway rat)
Lineage: Eukaryota; Metazoa; Chordata; Mammalia; Rodentia; Muridae
Source: Ensembl